CAGGAAGUGGACUACGCUGCAGGGCAUUCUGGGCUGCUGCUCCGUUUCCCUCAUCAAACAGCUGUUAGAGAAAAGGUUCAGGGUUUUCCUUCUUCCUCCCCUGAGCUUUAGCGACCAGUGGAUUCAUGGACAGAAAGCAGUUUGCAUGUUCCUCGCCGCCGUCCCAGCAGCCUCUCUGCCGUGGCAUCAGUAGGAAAAGGUAAAUCCAUCUCCCUCAUACAUUUACAGACAAACUCACCUUUUAACUCGGUUAGAACCCAAACCGCAUCGCCCUGCUUUCUGGGACUCAGCAGUAAGUUCUGCUGGAAAAUCCGUUUUCUUUUCACACAAAGAUGUUUGAAUAUUUUCUGCUCUCCUGUCGGUCAGAACAUCUGAACAGAACCUGCUUCAGUCAGACCGGCUCCAGCCCAACGGCGCACCCUGAUCAAUAUGAGAUCAAUAUGUAAGCCAUCCUCUGAUUGGUUCUGGUUCUCAGAUAAAGGAGGAAUUAAUUAGUCAGUAAACAACCAUCUGAUCUGAAACAGGAAGUCCACCAGGAGCUCAGGAGAAUCUCUUCUUCUGUUUGGUCCUCCAUCAUUUCUUUGGUUUCAGGUUGAUGUUGCAGGUUUUGGGUCAG
This is a long non-coding RNA of Xiphophorus maculatus (southern platyfish), 616 nucleotides long. RefSeq lists it as uncharacterized. The transcript has 3 exons. The record is from RefSeq and is a predicted model, not a curated record. Lineage: Eukaryota; Metazoa; Chordata; Actinopteri; Cyprinodontiformes; Poeciliidae.